CCUACGGGCGGCAGCAGUGAGGAAUAUUGGUCAAUGGACGCGAGUCUGAACCAGCCAAGUAGCGUGAAGGAUGACUGCCCUACGGGUUGUAAACUUCUUUUAUACAGGAAUAAAGUGAUACACGUGUGCCAAUUUGUAUGUACUUUAUGACUAAGGAUCGGCUAACUCCGUGCCAGCAGCCGCGGUAAUACGGAGGAUCCGAGCGUUAUCCGGAUUUAUUGGGUUUAAAGGGAGCGUAGGUGGGUUGUUAAGUCAGUUGUGAAAGUUUGCGGCUCAACCGUAAAAUUGCAAUUGAUACUGGCAGUCUUGAGUACAGGUGAGGUAGGCGGAAUUCGUGGUGUAGCGGUGAAAUGCUUAGAUAUCACGAAGAACUCCGAUUGCGAAGGCAGCUUACUAAACUGCAACUGACAUUGAUGCUCGAAAGUGUGGGUAUCAAACAGGAUUAGAUACCCGAGUAGUC
RNAcentral lists this ribosomal RNA (460 nucleotides) under uncultured bacterium. Its description in RNAcentral is "partial 16S ribosomal RNA". It matches the Rfam family "Bacterial small subunit ribosomal RNA", at positions 338 to 795 of the family's 1533-position model. The record is from RNAcentral.